RNAcentral lists this ribosomal RNA (484 nucleotides) under uncultured bacterium. RNAcentral's name for it is "partial 16S ribosomal RNA". It matches the Rfam family "Bacterial small subunit ribosomal RNA", at positions 30 to 507 of the family's 1533-position model. The record is from RNAcentral.
AUUGAACGCUGGCGGCAGGCCUAACACAUGCAAGUCGAGCGGAUGAAGGGAGCUUGCUCCUGGAUUCAGCGGCGGACGGGUGAGUAAUGCCUAGGAAUCUGCCUGGUAGUGGGGGAUAACGUCCGGAAACGGGCGCUAAUACCGCAUACGUCCUGAGGGAGAAAGCGGGGGAUCUUCGGACCUCACGCUAUCAGAUGAGCCUAGGUCGGAUUAGCUAGUUGGUGGGGUAAAGGCCUACCAAGGCGACGAUCCGUAACUGGUCUGAGAGGAUGAUCAGUCACACUGGAACUGAGACACGGUCCCGACUCCUACGGGAGGCAGCAGUGGGGAAUAUUGGACGAUGGGCGAGAGCCUGAUCCAGCCAUGCCGCGUGUGUGAAGAAGGUCUUCGGAUUGUAAAGCACUUUAAGUUGGGAGGAAGGGCAGUAAGUUAAUACCGUGCUGUUUUGACGUUACCAACAGAAUAAGCACCGGCUAACUUCGUG